This 74-nucleotide transfer RNA is filed under the name Neisseriaceae bacterium. RNAcentral describes it as "tRNA-Arg". It matches the Rfam family "tRNA". Rfam says of the family: Transfer RNA (tRNA) molecules are approximately 80 nucleotides in length. The record is from RNAcentral. Lineage: Bacteria; Pseudomonadati; Pseudomonadota; Betaproteobacteria; Neisseriales; Neisseriaceae.
GCCCUCGUAGCUCAGUUGGAUAGAGCGUUUCUUUUCUAAAGAAGUGGUCGGAGGUUCGAAUCCUUCCGAGGGUA